CUACGGGAGGCUGCAGUGAGGAAUAUUGCACAAUGGGGGGAACCCUGAUGCAGUAACGCCGCGUGGAGGAUGACGCAUUUCGGUGUGUAAACUCCUUUUAUAUGUCAAGAAAAUGACGGUAGCAUAUGGAUAAGCACCGGCUAACUCCGUGCCAGCAGCCGCGGUAAUACGGAGGGUGCAAGCGUUACUCGGAAUCCCUGGGCGUAAAGGACGCGUAGGCGGGUUGGAAAGUCAGGUGUGAAAUCCUACAGCUUAACUGUAGAACUGCACUUGAAACUUCUAAUCUAGAGUAUGGGAGGGGGAGAUGGAAUUAGUGGUGUAGGGGUAAAAUCCGUAGAUAUCACUAGGAAUACCUAAAGCGAAGGCGAUCUCCUGGAACAUUACUGACGCUAAGGCGUGAAAGCGUGGGGAGCAAACAGGAUUAGAUACCCUAGUAGUC
RNAcentral lists this ribosomal RNA (439 nucleotides) under uncultured bacterium. Its description in RNAcentral is "partial 16S ribosomal RNA". It matches the Rfam family "Bacterial small subunit ribosomal RNA", at positions 339 to 795 of the family's 1533-position model. The record is from RNAcentral.